AGCCAUUACAGGUGUUGCAUGGCUGUCGUCAGCUCGUGUCGUGAGAUGUUCGGUUAAGUCCGCUAACGAGCGCAACCCUCGCUGUGUGUUAUAUGUGUCACACAGGACUGCUGGUAUUAAGCCGGAGGAAGGUGGGGACGACGUCAAGUCAGCAUGACCUUUAUAUCCAGGGCUACACACACGCUACAAUGGUCAGUACAAUGGGUUGCCAAGCCGCGAGGCGGAGCCAAUCCUAAAAAGCUGGCCUCAGUUCAGAUUGCAGUCUGAAACUCGACUGCAUGAAGUCGGAGUUGCUAGUAAACGCAGGUCAGCUAUACUGCGUUGAAUACGUUCCCGGGGCUU
Molecule: ribosomal RNA, 342 nt
Filed under: uncultured Anaerolineaceae bacterium
Lineage: Bacteria; Bacillati; Chloroflexota; Anaerolineae; Anaerolineales; Anaerolineaceae
Description: bacterial SSU rRNA
Rfam family: Bacterial small subunit ribosomal RNA
Source: RNAcentral